UUUUUUGUCUUUUUGUCUUUUUUCCAGGGCCGCACCUGCGGCAUAUGGAGACAGAAAAAAAUAAGGAAGUAAAUAAAAAAGAAUUUCUCAAGGAAUAGUCUAGAAAGGACUGGCCAUUCACCCCUUGCCCUUCCAGCCACAUCCUAAUAUAGUGGCUCCAACCAUCAACUUUUCACUCAUAUCGUAUUGGUUUCCUAAUAUUUAAAACCUCUCGUAUCGAUGUUUAGAAGUAGAAGCUAAGUCCACUUCUCCGUGUCUUCUGACACUUGGAUUCUGUUCAGGUUACAAUGAAGGAAUGAGUCAUGUUCUUUCAGAGACCAAGGAGCCACUUACAAAGGCUAUUUUAAAUCUUUCAGGUGACAAGGGUAUUAUUUAGUUCCCAGAAACAAUAAUUGACUAAAUGGCUUCCUCAGGGCUGAAGGAGUUAAAGCGACUUCCUCGAGGGAUUCUUCUCUCCCAGGCACCAAAACAAUCUGAUUUUAAAUGGCACAGGAAUUAUAUAAACUUAAAGCAUCAAAUCCUACCUUACAAAAGAUAUAAAUUAGUGGGCGGUCAUUUGCAUUACAAAAGGAUUCUUUGCUUUGUCAAAAGAUUCCAAUGAAAUUGCUUCAAAAUUCAGAGUCCCCUAAUGUAUGCUAAAUGAUUUGAUUUGCACAUGGGCUUCGUGGGUGCAAACACAGCUGUACCAACGUCUCAAUCUGAUUACAGGUACCUCUUGGCCAUGACUUUGGCCCAGGAGGCGCCCAUACCCAUUUCACUGCCUCCAAGGUCAUACAGUGAGGAGGUGACCUUAAAACGUUUGACUCAUAAUUCCCCCACUCUAAUAAUAAAAUUGCUUUGCUUUCUACCUCGCACUUUUCAUCCAAAGUCUUCAAACUAUUCAAUUCGCAUUUGUUAGGCUUCAUAAUGAUGCCAAACCAAUUGGCAAGAGAGCUGUGAAUGCAAUCUUCCAAACUACCAGGGAUGGGGGGGAGAAAACUAGGACCACUGACACAGGCAAAAAAAAUUAAAGGUCCACAUAAGCAUAAAAGAACUACGUUGAGGUUUAUUUUUUCCCCCAAAUACAGUAUUUCACGUACGGUUAUUUUUUUUAAAUAGACGUUAAUUUUUCGAGCAGUUGCAAGUUCACAGUACAAGUGAGCAGAGUACAGAGAGUUCAGUUCCCGUGUACCCCCUGCCCACACACACGGCACAGCCUCUGGCAUUGUCAACAGCCCCCACCAGAGUGGUGUAUUUGUCACAAUCGAUGAACCACCACUGACAUAUCAUAAUCACUCCAAGUCCAUAGGUGGCACCAGGGUUCACUCUUGGUGUUGGGACAGUCCAUGGGCUUCAAAUCUAUUAUAACAUGUAUCUCCCAACAGAAUCCCAUACACAGUAGUUUUCACUGCUCUAAAGUUCCUCUGUGCGUGCCCUCUUCAGGCCUCUCUCCCCCCUACUUUUGAGGUUAUAAAGAGAAAAUAUUCAAAAUUCCAUUUCAAUACAACAAAUCAAUUUUUAUACAUCAGUUUUAUAUCACCAACGUGGGGGUUAGAAAGAAAAGGGAGUGACAAAUGCGGUGGGGGAGAGAGAGAAGGACCAAAGCAACGAAAAAUAAACGAACUCAAGGAGGUACAUGCUGCUGGGGUCGGGGGGAGGGGGGCACACAGCACAGAGGGGAGGAGACAGACCUGCUCGCCAAGAUCUGCCGCAUAAUCUAAUUAUCUGAAAUGUCAGAGGCAAGACCUUCCAUUUCAGAGCUCCUAAUUCAUCCGUUAAUUCUCCCAUCCAUCUGUUUUAAAUCCACAAGAAAUCUGAGGUUAUUUUUAAAUAAAAGGACGAAGAUACAGCGUGUUCAAAAAUCAGGAAAAUUGCAACCAGAAAUCCUUGCAGGAUCAAUACUAUCACCUAUUAAUUAGCUUUGCUUGAAAGUUAAGUCCCUCUAGUGAUGGAUAACACGAAAGGCUGCAAAGGAAGACUACGGUAUUGACAACCUGAGACACAGGUCACAUGCAAGAAAGAUGAGAGCAAUGUUAAUUUACAUUUCAGAAAAUUCAGAGUAGGCAUUUCUGUCUCUCAAAAGCUGUGAAGAUAAUAUGAAACAUCACAUAGAUAUACGGAGAUACAUGGGCUUACACAUCGUGAGAGUCUACCUACAAAUCCAUACACCCUUUGACGGUCGCUUUACAGGGACUCCACGAUCAGAAUUGUAGGAAUACUCAAGCAGGUAGCAAUGAAAAGCAAAUGGGAAUUGAUCUCUCAUUUCUAGACCAUCCUAAUUUUAUUGAUUCAAGAGACAGAGCAUGCGAGAUGUGCAAAGCAACAGGCAAGGAGCUGCAGGGUUACAGGAGAAACUAUUGUGAUG
This 2344-nucleotide long non-coding RNA is filed under the name Sus scrofa (pig). RNAcentral describes it as "lncRNA (ENSSSCG00050025853.1)". The record is from RNAcentral. Lineage: Eukaryota; Metazoa; Chordata; Mammalia; Artiodactyla; Suidae.